Molecule: small nuclear RNA, 288 nt
Filed under: Chinchilla lanigera (long-tailed chinchilla)
Lineage: Eukaryota; Metazoa; Chordata; Mammalia; Rodentia; Chinchillidae
Description: 7SK RNA (ENSCLAG00000021710.1)
Rfam family: 7SK RNA
About the family: 7SK was discovered as an abundant small nuclear RNA in the mid-70s but a possible function has only recently been suggested. Two independent studies have found that 7SK RNA binds the CDK9/cyclin T complex (known as elongation factor P-TEFb).
Source: RNAcentral
GGAUGUGAGGGUAACCUGGCUGUGACAUCUGCCACCACACUGAUCACCAGUGUUGAUUUGGCUGAUCUGACUGGCUGGGCAGUGUCCCCUGUCUGUCUCAGCAAUCAUGUGUGUUCCUCUCAAAGCUGUGCACUUGGUUGAAGAGGAUGAGCCCCCCAAGAGAGGAGAAUAAUUCCUUGGUUAUAUAAGUAGCGGAACUCCCCUGCUAGAACCUCCAAACAAGCUCUCAAACAAAAUACCAAGAGACUGCCUUAAAUUACAGAUUAAUUGCAACUGGCAAUUCAUUUU